This 497-nucleotide ribosomal RNA is filed under the name uncultured bacterium. RNAcentral's name for it is "partial 16S ribosomal RNA". It matches the Rfam family "Bacterial small subunit ribosomal RNA", at positions 28 to 507 of the family's 1533-position model. The record is from RNAcentral.
GAUGAACGCUGGCGGCGUGCCUAAUACAUGCAAGUCGAGCGAACGGACGAGAAGCUUGCUUCUCUGAUGUUAGCGGCGGACGGGUGAGUAACACGUGGAUAACCUACCUAUAAGGCUGGGAUAACUUCGGGAAACCGGAGCUAAUACCGGAUGAUAUCUUGAACCGCAUUGUUCAAAAGUGAAAGACGGUCUUGCUGUCACUUAUAGAUGGAUCCGCGCUGCAUUAGCUAGUUGGUAAGGUAACGGCUUACCAAGGCAACGAUGCAUAGCCGACCUGAGAGGGUGAUCGGCCACACUGGAACGGAGACACGGUCCAGACUCCUACGGGAGGCAGCAGUAGGGAAUCUUCCGCAAUGGGCGAAAGCCUGACGGAGCAACGCCGCGUGAGUGAUGAAGGUCUUCGGAUCGUAAAACUCUGUUAUUAGGGAAGAACAUAUGUGUAAGUAACUGUGCACAUCUUGACGGUACCUAAUCAGAAAGCCACGGCUAACUACGUG